RNAcentral lists this long non-coding RNA (1923 nucleotides) under Pan troglodytes (chimpanzee). RNAcentral's name for it is "long non-coding RNA NONPTRT004380". Lineage: Eukaryota; Metazoa; Chordata; Mammalia; Primates; Hominidae. The record is from RNAcentral.
GUCACAUCCCGUGUGGCUGUGGAGGUCGCUGUGUGACUGUGGAGGUUGCUGUGUGACUAUGGAGGUCACUAUGUGACUAUGGAGGUCGCUGUGUGACUGUGGAGGUCUCAUCCAUGUGGCUGUGGAGGUCUCUGUGACCAUGGAGGUCACGUCCCAUGUGGCCGUGGAGGUCGCUGUGUGACUAUGGAGGUCGCGUCCCAUGUGGCUGUGGAGGUCGCUGUGUGACCAUGGAGGUUACUGUGUGACUAUGGAGGUCGCUGUGUGACUAUGGAGGUUGCUGUGUGACUAUGGAGGUCUCGUCCAUGUGGCCGUGGAGGUCUCUGUGUGACUAUGGAGGUCGCGUCCCGUGUGGCUGUGGAGGUCGCUGUGUGGCUAUGGAGGUCGAGUCCCGUGUGGCUGUAGAGGUCGCUGUGUGACUAUGGAGGUCUCGUCCAUGUGGCUCUGAAGGUCGCUGUGUGGCUAUGGAGGUCGAGUCCCGUGUGGCUGUAGAGGUCGCUGUGUGACUAUGGAGGUCUCGUCUGUGUGGCUGUGGAGGUCGCUAUGUGACUAUGGAGGUUGCUGUGUGACUAUGGAGGUCUCGUCCAUGUGGCCGUGGAGGUCUCUGUGUGACUAUGGAGGUCGCGUCCCAUGGUCCCAUGUGGCUGUGGAGGUCGUGUGUGACUAUGGAGGUCUUGUCCACGUGGCUGUGGAGGUCUUUGUGUGACUAUGGAGGUCAUGUCCCAUGUGGCUGUGGAGGUCUCUGUGUGACUAUGGAGGUCGAGUCCCAUGUGGCUGUAGAGGUCGCUGUGUGACUAUGGAGGUCUCGUCUGUGUGGCUGUGGAGGUCGCUGUGUGACUAUGGAGGUCAUGUCCCAUGUGGCUGUGGAGGUCUCUGUGUGACUAUGGGGGUCACGUCCUGUGUGGCUGUGGAGGUCUCUGUGUGAGUAUGGAGCUCAUGUCCCAUGUGACUGUGGAGGUCGCUGUGUGACUAUGGAGGUCGCUGUGUGACUGUGGAGGUCUCGUCCAUGUGGCUGUGGAGGUCUUUGUGUGACCAUGGAGGUCACGUCCCGUGUGACUGUGGAGAUCUCUGUGUGACUAUGGAGGUCUCGUCCAUGUGGCCGUGGAGGUCUCUGUGUGACUAUGGAGGUCGCGUCCCGUGUGGCUGUGGAGGUCGCUGUGUGACUAUGGAGGUCUCGUCUGUGUGGCUGUGGAGGUCGCUGUGUGACUAUGGAGGUCAUGUCCCAUGUGGCUGUGGAGGUCUCUGUAUGACUAUGGGGGUCACGUCCUGUGUGGCUGUGGAGGUCUCUGUGUGACUAUGGAGGUUUCAUCCAUGUGGCUCUGAAGGUCUCUGUGUGAUUAUGGGGGUCACGUCCUGUGUGGCUGUGGAGGUCUCUGUGUGAUUAUGGAGCUCAUGUCCCAUGUGGCUGUGGAGGUCGCUGUGUGACUAUGGAGGUCGCUGUGUGACUGUGGAGGUCUCGUCCAUGUGGCUGUGGAGGUCUUUGUGUGACUAUGGAGGUCACGUCCGUGUGGCUGUGGAGGUCUCUUUGUGACUAUGGAGAUCUCUGUGUGACUAUGGAGGUUUCAUCCAUGUGGCUCUGAAGGUCUCUGUGUGACUAUGGAGGUUGCGUCCCAUGUGGCUGUGGAGGUCGCUGUUUGACUAUGGAGGUCUCGUCCGUGUGGCUCUGGAGGUCGCGUGUGUGACUAUGGAGGUCUCGUCCAUGUGGCUGUGGCGGUCUCUAUGUGACUAUGGAGGUCUCGUCUGUGUGGCUAUGGAGGUCUUUGGGUGACUAUGGUGGUCACGUCCCAUGGUCCCAUGUGGCUGUGGAGGUCGUGUGUGACUAUGGAGGUCUCGUCCACGUGGCUUUGGAGGUCUUCGUGUGACUAUGGAGGUCACGUCGCAUGUGGCUGUGGAGGUCGCUGUGUGACUAUGGAGGUCUCAUCUGUG